GAUGAACGCUGGCGGCGUGCCUAAUACAUGCAAGUCGAGCGAACCCCUUCGGUGGUGAGCGGCGAACGGGUGAGUAACACGUAGGUGAUCUGCCCAUCAGACGGGGACAACGAUUGGAAACGAUCGCUAAUACCGGAUAGGACGAAAGUUUAAAGGUGCUUCUGGCACCGCUGAUGGAUGAGCCUGCGGCGCAUUAGCUAGUUGGUAGGGUAAAGGCCUACCAAGGCGACGAUGCGUAGCCGACCUGAGAGGGUGAACGGCCACACUGGGACUGAGACACGGCCCAGACUCCUACGGGAGGCAGCAGUAGGGAAUCUUCGGCAAUGGGCGAAAGCCUGACCGAGCAACGCCGCGUGAGUGAUGAAGGCCUUAGGGUUGUAAAGCUCUUUUACCAGGGAUGAUAAUGACAGUACCUGGAGAAUAAGCUCCGGCUAACUCCGUG
Molecule: ribosomal RNA, 442 nt
Filed under: uncultured bacterium
Lineage: Bacteria
Description: bacterial SSU rRNA
Rfam family: Bacterial small subunit ribosomal RNA
Source: RNAcentral